GCAACGGGGCGGUGGCUCGGCGGGUACCCGGCCUAGUGAGCGCGAGAAGCCGCUAGGCCGCAGCCGGCCCACCCUGGGCUCUGGAGAGGUGCAGCCCCCGGCCCCGGAGCCCUCCCGGGGGCGCCAGAAAGCCACUUUGGGCCUGUCCCCAGGAAAACGUGGUCUCAGCUGUGGGGCCGUCGAGCAGGCCUCGACCCCUCUUCCUGACCUGAGGAGAGGCCCAGCGCCUCACCCUCACCCGGUCUUUGUGCAGGGCGCCGGCGGCCAUUGUGUCCGGGCGGGGAAUGGAGGACCCGGCAAUCCCCAACUGCCACGUUCUGGGCCUUUGGGGAAUUCAGAGCAAACCAGCGGCAUUUGUUGGGGGUCUCCGGCCUUCAACCUCCCAGACAGGCCUGGGAGUGGCCUUCCCAAAGUCAGAUUGCAGAUCUGAGGCAGUUUCCCCCUCCCUGCGUCCCUCACUGAAACCUUGAACCCCAUUGAGAAGUCCCUUUAGAGUUUCGGACGCCUCCACCUCACCCUGGGCUGGUGCUUAAAUAGAAAAAAGAAAAACAAAAACCAACUAAAUCCAUACCAGCCACCUCCGGGAGAGUACUCCUGGCUCCCAGUAGGAGGCGGAGAGCCAAGGGGCGUGCAAGAGAGAGGGGGCUGGGCUCCCGGGUGGCAGGAGGCCGCGGCUGCGGAGCGGCCGCCCUCGAUCCGGGCGAUGGAGGAGGAAGCAAGCGAGGGGGCUGGUUCCUGAGCUUCGCAAUUCCUGUGUCGCCUUCUGGGCUCCCAGCCUGCCGGGUCGCAUGAUCCCUCCGGCCGGAGCUGGUUUUUUUGCCAGCCGCCGCGAGGCCGGCUGAGUUACCGGCAUCCCCGCAGCCACCUCCUCUCUCGACCUGUGAUACAAAAGAUCUUCCGGGGGCUGCACCUGCCUGCCUUUGCCUAAGGCGGAUUUGAAUCUCUUUCUCUCCCCUCAGAAUCUUAUCUUGGCUUUGGAUCUUAGAAGAGAAUCACUAACCAGAGACGAGACUCAGUGAGUGAGCAGGUGUUUUGGACAAUGGACUGGUUGAGCCCAUCCCUAUUAUAAAAAUGUCUCAGAGCAACCGGGAGCUGGUGGUUGACUUUCUCUCCUACAAGCUUUCCCAGAAAGGAUACAGCUGGAGUCAGUUUAGUGAUGUGGAAGAGAACAGGACUGAGGCCCCAGAAGGGACUGAAUCGGAGAUGGAGACCCCCAGUGCCAUCAAUGGCAACCCAUCCUGGCACCUGGCGGACAGCCCCGCGGUGAAUGGAGCCACUGGCCACAGCAGCAGUUUGGAUGCCCGGGAGGUGAUCCCCAUGGCAGCAGUAAAGCAAGCGCUGAGGGAGGCAGGCGACGAGUUUGAACUGCGGUACCGGCGGGCAUUCAGUGACCUGACAUCCCAGCUCCACAUCACCCCAGGGACAGCAUAUCAGAGCUUUGAACAGGUAGUGAAUGAACUCUUCCGGGAUGGGGUAAACUGGGGUCGCAUUGUGGCCUUUUUCUCCUUCGGCGGGGCACUGUGCGUGGAAAGCGUAGACAAGGAGAUGCAGGUAUUGGUGAGUCGGAUCGCAGCUUGGAUGGCCACUUACCUGAAUGACCACCUAGAGCCUUGGAUCCAGGAGAACGGCGGCUGGAGACGGGAUCUCACUAUGUCUCCCAGGCUGGUUUCGAACUCCUGGUCUCAAGCAAUCCACCCGCCUCAGCCUCCUGAAGUAUAGCACUUCCAUUUCACAAAUGAGGCAACUGAUACUUGGAGGAGAGCAGGAGAGCAGCAGCGGAGAGAGAGCAGAACUAAGACCAGCCAGUCAACGGAGACAGAGGGAGACGAGCAUCAGCUCCCUGACAGGGAAGAGUUUUCCAACGGGGCUGUCCGAAGAUGAAAUGUCCUACCCAGGAAGGAGGGAGCUCUCCAUAAGUGCAUAAGGAGAGAAUGCCCUCGAGAUGACUACCAACUCCCAUGGGUGUGGACCAUCAGAAUGAAACAGACCCACUGUGGGACUUCAGCACUCCACCCUUCUGAACCCUGUCUGUGAAAUGGGGGUGUUCGUGGUGAGCUUGAGUAUUACAUGGAAGGUUGGAUGGGCAUGCUGUAAGGUCCCUGGAGUCUCCGACUCUGUUCCAAGGGUGCCAGAUGCCAGUUUUAGAUUCUGGCUCCACCACUGACACAGCUGGGUGACCUUGAUCUAGUCCCUGGACCCUCAGAGGCACAGCUUCUUGGCCUGUAAAUGGGGAGAGACAGCCUGCAUUGCAGAAUUGUUGGGAGGAUUAAAGGACAAAUUGGGAUACUUUUGUGGAACUCUAUGGGAACAAUGCAGCAGCCGAGAGCCGAAAGGGCCAGGAACGCUUCAACCGCUGGUUCCUGACGGGCAUGACUGUGGCCGGCGUGGUUCUGCUGGGCUCACUCUUCAGUCGGAAAUGACCAGACACUGACCAUCCACUCUACCCUCCCACCCCCUUCUCUGCUCCACCACAUCCUCCGUCCAGCCGCCAUUGCCACCAGGAGAACCACUACAUGCAGCCCAUGCCCACCUGCCCACCUGCCCAUCACAGGGUUGGGCCCAGACCUGGUCCCCUGCAGUUAGUUUUCUAGAAUUUAUCACACUUCUGUGAGACCCCCACACCUCAGUUCCCUUGGCCUCAGAAUUCACAAAAUUUCCACAAAAUCUGUCCAAAGGAGGCUGGCAGGUAUGGAAGGGUUUGUGGCUGGGGGCAGGAGGGCCCUACCUGAUUGGUGCAACCCUUACCCCUUAGCCUCCCUGAAAAUGUUUUUCUGCCAGGGAGCUUGAAAGUUUUCAGAACCUCUUCCCCAGAAAGGAGACUAGAUUGCCUUUGUUUUGAUGUUUGUGGCCUCAGAAUUGAUCAUUUUCCCCCCACUCUCCCCACACUAACCUGGGUUCCCUUUCCUUCCAUCCCUACCCCCUAAGAGCCAUUUAGGGGCCACUUUUGACUAGGGAUUCAGGCUGCUUGGGAUAAAGAUGCAAGGACCAGGACUCCCUCCUCACCUCUGGACUGGCUAGAGUCCUCACUCCCAGUCCAAAUGUCCUCCAGAAACCUCUGGCUAGAGGCCAGCCCCACCCAGGAGGGAGGGGGCUAUAGCUGCAGGAAGCACCCCAUGCCAAAGCUAGGGUGGCCCUUGCAGUUCAGCACCACCCUAGUCCCUUCCCCUCUCUGGCUCCCAUGACCAUACUGAGGGACCAACUGGGCCCAAGACAGAUGCCCCAGAGCUGUUUAUGGCCUCAGCUGCCUCACUUCCUACAAGAGCAGCCUGUAGCAUCUUUGCCUUGGGCUGCUCCUCAUGGCGGGUUCAGGGGACUCAGCCCUGAGGUGAAAGGGAGCUAUCAGGAACAGCUAUGGGAGCCCCAGGGUCUUCCCUACCUCAGGCAGGAAGGGCAGGAAGGAGAGCCUGCUGCAUGGGGUGGGGUAGGGCUGACUAGAAGGGCCAGUCCUGCCUGGCCAGGCAGAUCUGUGCCCCAUGCCUGUCCAGCCUGGGCAGCCAGGCUGCCAAGGCCAGAGUGGCCUGGCCAGGAGCUCUUCAGGCCUCCCUCUCUCUUCUGCUCCACCCUUGGCCUGUCUCAUCCCCAGGGGUCCCAGCCACCCCGGGCUCUCUGCUGUACAUAUUUGAGACUAGUUUUUAUUCCUUGUGAAGAUGAUAUACUAUUUUUGUUAAGCGUGUCUGUAUUUAUGUGUGAGGAGCUGCUGGCUUGCAGUGCGCGUGCACAUGGAGAGCUGGUGCCCGGAGAUUGGACGGCCUGAUGCUCCCUCCCCUGCCCUGGUCCAGGGAAGCUGGCCGAGGGUCCUGGCUCCUGAGGGGCACCUGCCCCUCCCCCAACCCCCACCCCACACUUGUUCCAGCUCUUUGAAAUAGUCUGUGUGAAGGUGAAAGUGCAGUUCAGUAAUAAACUGUGUUUACUCAGUGAACAAA
RNA transcript from Pan troglodytes (chimpanzee), 3923 nucleotides. It is a transcript of the gene named BCL2 like 1, with no coding region annotated. The record is from RefSeq and is a predicted model, not a curated record. Lineage: Eukaryota; Metazoa; Chordata; Mammalia; Primates; Hominidae. The transcript has 6 exons.